AGGCCUGUAGCUUAAUUGGCAAAGCCGCUUUCUUGUCUAUUUAAGACAAUCCACUCCACAUGCAGGUUCAAAUCCUGCCGGGUCUA
This 86-nucleotide transfer RNA is filed under the name Tulasnella calospora MUT 4182. It matches the Rfam family "tRNA". From Rfam's summary of the family: Transfer RNA (tRNA) molecules are approximately 80 nucleotides in length. Their secondary structure includes four short double-helical elements and three loops (D, anti-codon, and T loops). Lineage: Eukaryota; Fungi; Basidiomycota; Agaricomycetes; Cantharellales; Tulasnellaceae. The record is from Rfam by way of RNAcentral.